AGUGAACGCUGGCGGUAGGCCUAACACAUGCAUGUCGAACGGCAGCACAGUAAGAGCUUGCUCUUACGGGUGGCGAGUGGCGGACGGGUGAGGAAUACAUCGGAAUCUACUUUUUCGUGGGGCUUAACGUAGGGAAACUUACGCUAAUACCGCUUACGACCUACGGGUGAAAGCAGGGGAUCUUCGCACCUUGCGCGAAUGAAUGAGCCGAUGUCGGAUUAGCUAGUUGGCGGGGUAAAGGCCCACCAAGGCGACGAUCCGUAGCUGGUCUGAGAGGAUGAUCAGCCACACUGGAACUGAGACACGGUCCAGACUCCUACGGGAGGCAGCAGUGGGGAAUAUGGGACCAUGGGCGCAAGCCUGAUCCAGCCAUACCGCGUGAGUGAAGAAGGCCUUCGGGUUGUAAAGCCCUUUUGUUGGGAAAGAAAAGCAGCAGGUUAAUACCCCGCUGGUCUAACGGUACCCAAAGAAUAAGCACCGGCUAACUUAGUG
Molecule: ribosomal RNA, 492 nt
Filed under: uncultured bacterium
Lineage: Bacteria
Description: partial 16S ribosomal RNA
Rfam family: Bacterial small subunit ribosomal RNA
Source: RNAcentral